This 1569-nucleotide ribosomal RNA is filed under the name Salinivibrio kushneri. RNAcentral's name for it is "bacterial SSU rRNA". It matches the Rfam family "Bacterial small subunit ribosomal RNA". Lineage: Bacteria; Pseudomonadati; Pseudomonadota; Gammaproteobacteria; Vibrionales; Vibrionaceae. The record is from RNAcentral.
AAAUUGAAGAGUUUGAUCAUGGCUCAGAUUGAACGCUGGCGGCAGGCCUAACACAUGCAAGUCGAGCGGAAACGGCAGCAUUGAAGCUUCGGUGGAUUUGCUGGACGUCGAGCGGCGGACGGGUGAGUAACGGCUGGGAACCUGCCCUGACGCGGGGGAUAACCGUUGGAAACGACGGCUAAUACCGCAUAAUGUCUUAGUUCAUUACGAGCUGGGACCAAAGGUGGCCUCUACAUGUAAGCUAUCGCGUUGGGAUGGGCCCAGUUAGGAUUAGCUAGUUGGUAAGGUAAUGGCUUACCAAGGCGACGAUCCUUAGCUGGUUUGAGAGGAUGAUCAGCCACACUGGGACUGAGACACGGCCCAGACUCCUACGGGAGGCAGCAGUGGGGAAUAUUGCACAAUGGGGGAGACCCUGAUGCAGCCAUGCCGCGUGUGUGAAGAAGGCCUUCGGGUUGUAAAGCACUUUCAGCAGUGAGGAAGGUGGUGUACUUAAUAAGUGCAUGGCUUGACGUUAGCUGCAGAAGAAGCACCGGCUAACUCCGUGCCAGCAGCCGCGGUAAUACGGAGGGUGCGAGCGUUAAUCGGAAUUACUGGGCGUAAAGCGCAUGCAGGCGGUUUGUUAAGUCAGAUGUGAAAGCCCGGGGCUCAACCUCGGAACCGCAUUUGAAACUGGCAGGCUAGAGUCUUGUAGAGGGGGGUAGAAUUUCAGGUGUAGCGGUGAAAUGCGUAGAGAUCUGAAGGAAUACCAGUGGCGAAGGCGGCCCCCUGGACAAAGACUGACGCUCAGAUGCGAAAGCGUGGGUAGCAAACAGGAUUAGAUACCCUGGUAGUCCACGCCGUAAACGCUGUCUACUUGGAGGUUGAGGUUUAGACUUUGGCUUUCGGCGCUAACGCAUUAAGUAGACCGCCUGGGGAGUACGGCCGCAAGGUUAAAACUCAAAUGAAUUGACGGGGGCCCGCACAAGCGGUGGAGCAUGUGGUUUAAUUCGAUGCAACGCGAAGAACCUUACCUACUCUUGACAUCCAGUGAACUUUCCAGAGAUGGAUUGGUGCCUUCGGGAACACUGAGACAGGUGCUGCAUGGCUGUCGUCAGCUCGUGUUGUGAAAUGUUGGGUUAAGUCCCGCAACGAGCGCAACCCUUAUCCUUGUUUGCCAGCACAUAAUGGUGGGAACUCCAGGGAGACUGCCGGUGAUAAACCGGAGGAAGGUGGGGACGACGUCAAGUCAUCAUGGCCCUUACGAGUAGGGCUACACACGUGCUACAAUGGCAGAUACAGAGGGCAGCGAAGCUGCGAAGUGGAGCGAAUCCCUUAAAGUCUGUCGUAGUCCGGAUUGGAGUCUGCAACUCGACUCCAUGAAGUCGGAAUCGCUAGUAAUCGUGGAUCAGAAUGCCACGGUGAAUACGUUCCCGGGCCUUGUACACACCGCCCGUCACACCAUGGGAGUGGGCUGCACCAGAAGUAGAUAGCUUAACCUUCGGGAGGGCGUUUACCACGGUGUGGUUCAUGACUGGGGUGAAGUCGUAACAAGGUAGCCCUAGGGGAACCUGGGGCUGGAUCACCUCCUUA